GGUUAAGUUAGAAAGGGCGCACGGUGGAUGCCUUGGCACUAGGAGCCGAAGAAGGACGGGACUAACACCGAUAUGCUUUGGGGAGCUGUACGUAAGCGUUGAUCCAGAGAUUUCCGAAUGGGGGAACCCACUAUCUUUAGUCGGAUAGUAUCCUUACGUGAAUACAUAGCGUGAGGAAGGCAGACCCAGGGAACUGAAACAUCUAAGUACCUGGAGGAAGAGAAAGAAAAAUCGAUUUCCUGAGUAGCGGCGAGCGAAACGGAAAGAGCCCAAACCAAGAAGCUUGCUUCUUGGGGUUGUAGGACACUCUAUACGGAGUUACAAAAGAAAGUUAUAAAUGAAGCGGUCUGGAAAGGCCCGCCAAAGACGGUAACAGCCCGGUAGUUGAAAUGGCUUUCCCUCCAGAGUGGAUCCUGAGUACGGCGGAACACGUGAAAUUCCGUCGGAAUCCGGGAGGACCAUCUCCCAAGGCUAAAUACUCCCUAGUGACCGAUAGUGAACCAGUACCGUGAGGGAAAGGUGAAAAGCACCCCGGAAGGGGAGUGAAACAGUUCCUGAAACCGUGUGCCUACAAGUAGUUAGAGCCCGUUAAUGGGUGAUAGCGUGCCUUUUGUAGAAUGAACCGGCGAGUUACGAUUUGUUGCAAGGUUAAGCGGAAAAAGCGGAGCCGUAGCGAAAGCGAGUCUGAAUAGGGCGCAUAAGUAACAGGUCGUAGACCCGAAACCAGGUGAUCUACCCAUGUCCAGGAUGAAGGUAAGGUAAUACUUACUGGAGGUCCGAACCCACGCACGUUGAAAAGUGCGGGGAUGAGGUGUGGGUAGCGGAGAAAUUCCAAUCGAACUUGGAGAUAGCUGGUUCUCUCCGAAAUAGCUUUAGGGCUAGCCUCGAGGUAAAGAGUCAUGGAGGUAGAGCACUGUUUGGACUAGGGGCCCUUCUCGGGUUACCGAAUUCAGAUAAACUCCGAAUGCCAUGUACUUAUACUCGGGAGUCAGACUGCGAGUGAUAAGAUCCGUAGUCGAAAGGGAAACAGCCCAGACCACCAGUUAAGGUCCCCAAAUAUAUGUUAAGUGGAAAAGGAUGUGGGGUUGCUUAGACAACCAGGAUGUUGGCUUAGAAGCAGCCACCAUUGAAAGAGUGCGUAAUAGCUCACUGGUCGAGUGACCCCGCGCCGAAAAUGUACCGGGGCUAAACAUAUUACCGAAACUGUGGAUGAACCUCUUUAGAGGUUCGUGGUAGGAGAGCGUUCUAAGGGCGGUGAAGUCAGACCGGAAGGACUGGUGGAGCGCUUAGAAGUGAGAAUGCCGGUAUGAGUAGCGAAAGAAGGGUGAGAAUCCCUUCCACCGAAUAUCUAAGGUUUCCUGAGGAAGGCUCGUCCGCUCAGGGUUAGUCGGGACCUAAGCCGAGGCCGAUAGGCGUAGGCGAUGGACAACAGGUAGAGAUUCCUGUACCAGUGCUAAUUGUUUAACCGAUGGGGUGACACAGAAGGAUAGGGAAUCGCACGAAUGGAAAUGUGCGUCCAAGCAGUGAGUGUGAGAAGUAGGCAAAUCCGCUUCUCG
Molecule: ribosomal RNA, 1556 nt
Filed under: Listeria monocytogenes
Lineage: Bacteria; Bacillati; Bacillota; Bacilli; Caryophanales; Listeriaceae
Description: partial 23S ribosomal RNA
Rfam family: Bacterial large subunit ribosomal RNA
Source: RNAcentral